UCCUCAUCAGGCUAAACUGAAGAAAGACACUAAGAACCUACUUAAUAUCAGAGUCUUGGAAAAUAAAGUGAAGAGACCCAGAUCGAAUCCCGCCAUCACGCCUUAGUUUGCAGAGAGCACUGGGGAAAUCGCUUUCUUCUCUCUGGAUGACAGGAAUAAACCUGGUGUACAAACUUUUUGAGGCGAUGAAAACAAGAUGUGCAUCAAGGAAUUCUUUCGUGACGCUAAAGACCAGAGGAGACACUGAAAGAGGAUUCACAGAUGUGGAGAGAGGAAGCAAAUGGGAUUCCCCUACUGCAGUGAUCAGAGUAUAAGCCACAGCCUGGAACACUCAUCUGAGAACAUCAGAACAGAGAAGGAAAUAUUUCUUCCCAACAGAGAAGGCACAUGGGUUCAGGCUCAUAAGGAAAGGAGAUCUCCCACUUGAUUCACCUUCUGAGAAGCAGUUAAGUAUCACUGAUGGAGUUUCUGAACAGAGCACAAAAAUGUUUCCGCCCUUAAAGCAAAGAAAUGUCACAGAGAGUCUCUAGAGAGUCUGAGGCACUCUGGGUUCCUGAUUUUUCUCUACACAUAACUACUAUUCCAAAAACUAUUUUUGAAGUCAAAUAUCAGAAGCGGCCAUCAGGAAGCUGCUUUGGGGAUUCCUUUAAUCCACAGGGUCCUGUAAAGCCCUUCACACAGGGACCAUCCCUGAGAGGGAGAUGGGGGGUGUUUAGAGUCCAAAUUGGGAAUCUCCUAGAAAUCGGUGAACGCCCAAAUCAAUUCUUACCUAAAUGACUGAAAGGAAAAAUGUGGGCUGUGUCCAUUAUUUUCAGCUGGCAAAGGUCUCAGGGGCUUCUAAUAUCUUCUUGGCCCCACGGCAUGUACAUAAUACUACGGUUCCCAAUUGAUUUAUUAAUGUCAGAGUGUCAACUCUAUUGUGAUUCAGGUAGGAUAUGUGUGUAUUAUGUCCAUAUGAUUUUGUAGUAUGAAUUGUGCUUGUGUAAUGAUUAUCGUCAUUAUAUUUUGUCUUAGAUAUGAAUUCUUUAUUUAAAAUAUUGAAUCAUUCUCUUUAAAAUAUUUCUCAAAGCAUUCCUUUAUCACUAAAUUUCAUUUGGCAAUGCCCAACAUUUCUUGUAGAAAGCGAGUAAUAAGUGAAUUUCUGUUUCUUUAAUUGUGAUUAGCAGGAUUAAGAUGUGAAAUUUAUUUCAAGUGGAAUAAUCACGUGUUCAUAACUUUAAAAUAAUCUCAGACUUUUAUAAGCCCUCACUGAGUCUCUUAGCUGUAAUUAAAUUUCUAUUUAUGUAAAAUUAAAAUUGGUCAAAUAAAACUUUUGAAGAUCUGCCAAAAUCUGAAUUAAAUGAGGUGGGAUCAAAAUUACUUAAGACAGUAGACAAAUGUAAAAUAAGAAAAAUAGAGUGUUUUAUUGAUGCUCUGUCAUCAAAUGAAAUAAUUGCUUUGAGAAUGUCACUUUUCUGAAAACAGAUGUGAUAUUUUCCCACUGAAGUUUUGGCUAGAGUAACAUUUUUAA
Molecule: non-coding RNA, 1510 nt
Organism: Manis javanica (Malayan pangolin)
Lineage: Eukaryota; Metazoa; Chordata; Mammalia; Pholidota; Manidae
Source: RefSeq, a predicted model, not a curated record